CCUGCGGAGGGAUCAUUACCGAGUUUACAAACUCCCAAACCCUUUGUGAACCUUACCAUAUCGUUGCUUCGGCGGGACCGCCCCGGCGCCCUCGCGGCCCGGACCCAGGCGCCCGCCGGAGACCCCAAACUCUAUGUUUUACUGUACAUCUCCUCUGAGUGACACAUAAACAAUAAAUAAAAACUUUUAACAACGGAUCUCUUGGUUCUGGCAUCGAUGAAGAACGCAGCGAAAUGCGAUAAGUAAUGUGAAUUGCAGAAUUCAGUGAAUCAUCGAAUCUUUGAACGCACAUUGCGCCCGCCAGUAUUCUGGCGGGCAUGCCUGUUCGAGCGUCAUUUCAACCCUCAGGCCCCCAGUGCCUGGCGUUGGGGAUCGGCACCCGGGCGAACCGCGCAAGCGGCGCGCCCCGCCGGCCCCGAAAUCUAGUGGCGGUCUCGCUGUAGUCCUCCUCUGCGUAGUAGCACAACCUCGCAGCUGGAACUCGGCGGUGGCCCUGCCGUUAAACACCCCACUUCUGAAAGUUGACCUCGGAUCAGGUAGGAAUACCCGCUGAACUUAAGCAUAUCAAU
This 569-nucleotide ribosomal RNA is filed under the name Myrothecium gramineum. RNAcentral's name for it is "eukaryotic LSU rRNA". The stretch from base 182 to 335 matches the Rfam family "5.8S ribosomal RNA". Lineage: Eukaryota; Fungi; Ascomycota; Sordariomycetes; Hypocreales; Stachybotryaceae. The record is from RNAcentral.